Molecule: ribosomal RNA, 253 nt
Filed under: uncultured bacterium
Lineage: Bacteria
Description: partial 16S ribosomal RNA
Rfam family: Bacterial small subunit ribosomal RNA
Source: RNAcentral
GACAGAGGGUGCAAACGUUGUUCGGAAUUACUGGGCGUAAAGCGCACGUAGGCGGCUUUCUAAGUCGGGGGUGAAAUCCUGGAGCUCAACUCCAGAACUGCCUUCGAUACUGGAAAGCUCGAGUCCGGGAGAGGUGAGUGGAACUGCGAGUGUAGAGGUGAAAUUCGUAGAUAUUCGCAAGAACACCAGUGGCGAAGGCGGCUCACUGGCCCGGUACUGACGCUCAGGGGCGAAAGCGCGGGGAGCAAACCGG